RNAcentral lists this ribosomal RNA (460 nucleotides) under uncultured bacterium. RNAcentral's name for it is "partial 16S ribosomal RNA". It matches the Rfam family "Bacterial small subunit ribosomal RNA", at positions 338 to 795 of the family's 1533-position model. The record is from RNAcentral.
CCUACGGGGGGCAGCAGUGAGGAAUAUUGGUCAAUGGGCGGGAGCCUGAACCAGCCAAUUCGCGUGAGGGAAGACGGUCCUAUGGAUUGUAAACCUCUUUAGGCGGGGAGCAAUGCCGGGCACGCGUGCCCGGAGGGAGAGUACCCGCAGAAUAAGCAUCGGCUAACUCCGUGCCAGCAGCCGCGGUAAUACGGGGGAUGCGAGCGUUAUCCGGAUUUAUUGGGUUUAAAGGGUGCGUAGGCGGAGUGUCAAGUCAGCGGUAAAAUUUCGGGGCUCAACCCCGUCGUGCCGUUGAAACUGACGCACUUGAGUGAGUGAGAAGUAAGCGGAAUGCGUGGUGUAGCGGUGAAAUGCAUAGAUAUCACGCAGAACGCCGAGUGUGAAGGCAGCUUACCGGCGCUCAACUGACGCUGAGGCACGAAAGUGCGGGUAGCGAACAGGAUUAGAUACCCUGGUAGUC